AACGAACGCUGGCGGCAUGCCUAACACAUGCAAGUCGAACGGGACCUUCGGGUCUAGUGGCGCACGGGUGCGUAACGCGUGGGAACCUGCCCUUAGGUUCGGAAUAACUCCCCGAAAGGGGUGCUAAUACCGGAUAAUGUCUUCGGACCAAAGAUUUAUCGCCUUUGGAUGGGCCCGCGUUGGAUUAGCUAGUUGGUAGGGUAAAAGCCUACCAAGGCGACGAUCCAUAGCUGGUCUGAGAGGAUGAUCAGCCACACUGGGACUGAGACACGGCCCAGACUCCUACGGGAGGCAGCAGUGGGGAAUAUUGGACAAUGGGCGAAAGCCUGAUCCAGCAAGGCCGCGUGAGUGAUGAAGGCCUUAGGGUUGUAAAGCUCUUUUACCCGGGAUGAUAAUGACAGUACCGGGAGAAUAAGCUCCGGCUAACUCCGUG
This 433-nucleotide ribosomal RNA is filed under the name uncultured bacterium. RNAcentral's name for it is "partial 16S ribosomal RNA". It matches the Rfam family "Bacterial small subunit ribosomal RNA", at positions 29 to 507 of the family's 1533-position model. The record is from RNAcentral.